Molecule: ribosomal RNA, 1430 nt
Filed under: Candidatus Phytoplasma trifolii
Lineage: Bacteria; Bacillati; Mycoplasmatota; Mollicutes; Acholeplasmatales; Acholeplasmataceae
Description: 16S rRNA
Rfam family: Bacterial small subunit ribosomal RNA
Source: RNAcentral
UGGCGAACGGGUGAGUAACACGUAAGNAACCUGCCUUUAAGACGAGGAUAACAACCGGAAACGUUCUAAGACUGGAUAGGAAACAAAAAGGCAUCUUUUUGUUUUUAAAAGACCUUCUUACGAAGGUAUGCUUAAAGAGGGGCUUGCGCCACAUUAGUUAGUUGGUAGAGUAAAAGCCUACCAAGACGAUGAUGUGUAGCUGGACUGAGAGGUUGAACAGCCACAUUGGGACUGAGACACGGCCCAAACUCCUACGGGAGGCAGCAGUAGGGAAUUUUCGGCAAUGGAGGAAACUCUGACCGAGCAACGCCGCGUGAACGAUGAAGUAUUUCGGUAUGUAAAGUUCUUUUAUUGAAGAAGAAAAAGUAGUGGAAAAACUAUAUUGACGUUAUUCAAUGAAUAAGCCCCGGCUAACUAUGUGCCAGCACCCGCGGUAAGACAUAGGGGGCGAGCGUUAUCCGGAAUUAUUGGGCGUAAAGGGUGCGUAGGCUGUUAGAUAAGUCUAUAAUUUAAUUUCAGUGCUUAACGCUGUCUUGUUAUAGAAACUGUCUUGACUAGAGUGAGAUAGAGGCAAGCGGAAUUCCAUGUGUAGCGGUAAAAUGUGUAAAUAUAUGGAGGAACACCAGAAGCGUAGGCGGCUUGCUGGGUCUUUACUGACGCUGAGGCACGAAAGCGUGGGUAGCAAACAGGAUUANNNNNNNNNNNNNNNNNNNNNNNNNNNNNNNNNNNNNNNUCGGGGUAAAACUCGGUACUGAAGUUAACACAUUAAGUACUCCGCCUGAGUAGUACGUACGCAAGUAUGAAACUUAAAGGAAUUGACGGGACUCCGCACAAGCGGUGGAUCAUGUUGUUUAAUUCGAAGAUACACGAAAAAUCUUACCAGGUCUUGACAUACUCUGCAAAGCUAUAGAAAUAUAGUGGAGGUUAUCAGAGAUACAGGUGGUGCAUGGUUGUCGUCAGUUCGUGUCGUGAGAUGUUAGGUUAAGUCCUAAAACGAGCGCAACCCUUGUCGUUAAUUGCCAGCACGUAAUGGUGGGGACUUUAACGAGACUGCCAAUUAAAAAUUGGAGGAAGGUGAGGAUUACGUCAAAUCAUCAUGCCCCUUAUGAUCUGGGCUACAAACGUGAUACAAUGGCUGUGACAAAGAGUAGCUGAAACGCGAGUUUUUAGCCAAUCUCAAAAAAGCAGUCUCAGUUCGGAUUGAAGUCUGUAACUCGACUUCAUGAAGUUGGAAUCGCUAGUAAUCGCGAAUCAGCAUGUCGCGGUGAAUACGUUCUCGGGGUUUGUACACACCGCCCGUCAAACCACGUUUGUUAGCAAUACCCAAAAGCAGUAGCUUAACUUCGCAAGAAGAGGGAACUGUCUAAGGUAGGGUUGAUGAUUGGGGUUAAGUCGUAACAAGGUAUCCCUACCGGAAGGUGGGGAUGGAU